RNAcentral lists this ribosomal RNA (254 nucleotides) under uncultured soil bacterium. RNAcentral's name for it is "partial 16S ribosomal RNA". It matches the Rfam family "Bacterial small subunit ribosomal RNA", at positions 26 to 284 of the family's 1533-position model. The record is from RNAcentral.
AGGACGAACGCUGGCGGCGUGCUUAACACAUGCAAGUCGAGCGGAAAGGCCCUUCGGGGUACUCGAGCGGCGAACGGGUGAGUAACACGUGAGUAACCUGCCCCAGACUUUGGGAUAACCCUCGGAAACGGGGGCUAAUACCGGAUAUGACACUUCACCGCAUGGUGUGGGUGUGGAAAGUUUUUCGGUUUGGGAUGGGCUCGCGGACUAUCAGCUUGUUGGUGGGGUGAUGGCCUACCAAGGCGACGACGGUU